Motacilla alba alba is the source of this 7053-nucleotide long non-coding RNA. RefSeq lists it as uncharacterized. Lineage: Eukaryota; Metazoa; Chordata; Aves; Passeriformes; Motacillidae. The record is from RefSeq and is a predicted model, not a curated record. The transcript has 3 exons.
UUGGGAAAAAUGAGCAGUCCCAUAGCUGGUUUUGUUUAGCCAAAAUUCAGGUUUGACUCAGUUUUCCAUAUAAUGUCUGAAUUAAUAAAUUUGAAUUAGACUGUGUUAUAGUGUGGACAAAUAACACAUAGGUGUCUUUAAACAAGGCAUGUAUGAAGCAUCUUCAUUAUGAAUCCUUUCCUUUAUUUUAAUUAAGUGAAAAAGAUUGGUCUACACUGGGAAAAUAUUGAGGUAGAAAACCAAGUUAGGGAAUAUAGGAUGGAAACAAAACCAGAGAAAAUAUUUUAAUUAGAAAUUGCAGUGACCACAGGAUUAUUACAAAUGCAGUGAAAACCAUUUUCUUCAAUGUGCUAUGGAGAAGGUAGACAUGAUCUAUGGAAAAAUACCCAGUCAUCAAUUAAUUUUCUAUUGAUAAAAAUUAUUUUAAUCAAAAUCACUUUUUUACUAGGCCAAGAAGGAUAUUUGAUGUUUCUUUCUGUUGUGGUUUAACCCCAGCUGGUAGGUAAGCACCACACAACCCCUCAUUCAUUUUCCACUGAUGGGAAGGAGGUAGGAAUGGAAAGGGCAAAAAUGACAAAACCUAUGGGUUCAGAUAGAGACAGUUUAAAAGCUGGAGCAAAACUAAAAGCGAGUGAAGCAAAACAAGUAAUUCCUUCAACACUUCCCAUAGGCAGGCAGGUGUUCAGUCACCUCCAGGAAAGCAGGGCUCCUUCACAUGUAAUGGUGGCUUGGGAAGAAUAAUGCCAUCACUCUGAAUGUCCCCUCUUUCCUUAUACCCCAGCUUUAUGUGCUGACCAUGGCGUCACAUGGUCUGGAAAAUCCGUUGGGUCAUUUUGAGUCAGCUGUUCUGGCUGUGUUGCCUCCCAGUUUGUUCACCCCCAGCCUCCUCACUGGUGAGGUGUGGUGAGAGGCAGAAAAGACCUUGACUCUGUAUGACUUCAGCAGUAACAAAAACAUCUCUGUGUUAUCAACAUUGCUUUCAGUAAAAGUCCAAAUCAUAGCCUUGUAUCAAAUGCUCUGAAGAGAAUUCUCCCUAUCCCAGCCAAAACCAGUAUGCAUUCACUCUCUCCAGGAGUUCACCUAACACUGUAGUCUUUGAAUACAGGGCUAAAAGCAGCUGUCAUGUACUUCCUUUCUAACCCAGAGAAGAGUCCUCUGUAAUGGUGUUGUUCUUGAUGGACUUCUUUAUGUCCUUGAUGUCCAAUCUAUUCCCCAUGAUCCCUGGUGUGUGAGAUACUUUAUUUCUCAAAACAGCCUACUGCAAUUUUUUUCCUAUCCUAAUAUUUUCCAACAUCUAAUCUCUUUAAUUUUAGCUAUCUCAUUCAUCCAACAAAGAAUCAGAGUAGAAUAAGGUCUUCAGGUAUUUCAAGACUUAUAAUCUACUUCUCUUCCUAACUAAAUAGUCCAGAUUUCCCUAAAUUUCUUGUUGUACUAUGUCAAUAGCACUUCUUCUUUCUUGUCUUUGAACACUCUGAAAUUGGUCCACAUAAAAAGCACCCCAUGCCAGUUAUUUCUCGUCCUCCAUUUGCACAGUUAUUUAUACCUACAUUACACUUUUCCUAACUAAUUUUUAGAGUGUUUCACCAGUUUUCAAGAUUGUUUUAGUCUGUGUUUGCUUUCCAGCAUACCUUCAUUUUGCUUCACACUAAGAGAAAAUUUAAGAAACUACUCACUAAUAAUGAAUGUAUUUGUUUCAGUAGGUGAAUGAUUCUGGGUGAUUUUACAUUAGAUGGAAAUUAAAGGAUGAGGAGCACAUCUGCCUAAUAAUGUAGUAACCUCUAUUAGAAGAAAAAAAAGUGUGAAAGCAAAAGAUUUCAGAGUCAUCAUUCACACAGGAUGGCUGGAGUGUUGCUUAAAGUAAAAAUCUAGGAGCUUCAUAGAAGCUAUUACCAUUUGCUGGAAACCUUAGGGUUUUGAAGAAGUGGACUAUUUUGAAUAGGUUUUAAAUAAAAUGUUAAAGUAUUAAUUAAUGUUUUCCAGAUAAAAAUAUGUAUUCAAUAUGCCUAGAAAUUCUCUGUACCAUGUCUGCAUGGUUAGACAAUACAAUCUCCAGAGAUACCUUCCAAUCUCAACUAUUCUCUGACAGGUUUCAGGGUUUCCAAUUUAAAAGAUACUGCCCACUACAGUUUAGGAAGUAGCACUAUUGUCACAGCAGGAGGUAUCUCCAAGGUUGUCAGUUCCUGGAUCAUUUAAAAGUCUUCAGGUACCUUUUGUUCCCUUAGGAAUUAUUGUAAAAUGCAUGAGGAGACCAUUUUCCAGUAUCCAUUAAAGCAGAUGAGAGAACAUUUGAAAGACCCUGCAUUCAAAGGAAAAAAAAGGUUGUCUCUGUCUGGGAGGGGAAAGGUAUCAAAAGUGCGAGAGUCCUUGCCUGUCAUCAGGGUAAGUUGUCAGUAACAUGCAGGUGAAUAUAUGUCAAUAUUCAUGGGUGCUGUUCAUAUCUCAUUAAGAUAAAUCCAGAAUAUAAUUCCAAGUAAGCAGGAGUUUGCACGUGCGCAGAGAAAGAGGUUGAACCCGAUAUCACUCUUAUUGUUUUGCCUCAGCCACAGCUAAGUGCCCAGAAUUGUGGUGUUCUGUCCUCUGUUUUUUUCAAAGCCAACUCAAAAUGUUCUGCCAUAGCUCCUGUUCCACUCUUGACAUGAUGAAGAAAUCACAAAAACCAUAAACCACUAUAAAAGCCUAGUUUUACUGAGUAUGAUUGCUAAGCAUGAGAAGAGAAAAUCACAGUGGUCUAAUUGCUGUUGUGGAGCCCCAGGAAAGUCAAGUUAUUAAACAAAAUUGGCUGUGCCCCUUAUUUGAUCAACUUCUAAAAUAAUUCCUAAAAUUAAGAUGUAAAUACUUUUCUUUGUUUGUAAUUCAGCUUCCAGUGGCUGCUAAAGUAUUCAAUUGAGGCAUAACAUUUUAAAGCCUUUUAAGAGCCAAAUAAAAUUAUUACUUAUAAAUUAUUAAAAGCCUUCCACAAAUGGAAAAAUACUUACAGAAAAGUCCUUCAUAAAUAAUGUUCAAACUAAAUUAAGUAGUAGUAUAAGGAAUGCAUUAAAGUUUGCGAAUGAGAUAUUAGCAGUGUGCUCCCUUAACCUCAAAGUUAUGAUAGCUGGAGCACUUGCUACCCCUUCGAAACCUUGCAGCUCCAAGCCCUGGCUCUCUCUGGGAAAGAAACAUGUGGUGCUACUGGAGAUUGGAAAAAGAGCUCGAGGUCAGGGGUCGACACAGUAAGGGAGUUUGCUCUUUAAGAGGUUAUCUGUGGAUCUGCAAAGCCAAAGUGCAAUUGGGUUCUGUGAUGUGAUUUUAGUGAGUAAUUGUAUAUGAUCGUAGGUAGUUUCAAAGACAAGGUUGGAAGAUUUUUCCAGCCUGCUUGUGAUAUCAAUUUUGGGGAGUCUGUGUAGCUUGAGAUGGACAAUGCAGUUUCUUCAGAAAUUGUCAUCUGAAGUGAUACAGCUGGUAACUGAUUCCUUUAAUUAUAAAUUUAGCAGACUGGUAAUAUGUUUUUGUAUUUCUCAUCCCUGAGAUUUCUAUUGGGUAAAUCAGCAGCUUUGUAGUCUUGUACAUUUUUUUGCCACUGGUAAAAACUCAUGUUUGCUUUUAAGCUGGAACUGCAUCAGAGAAAAUUUUGCAUGUUUAUUAAGACAGUACGAGUCACUGUAAUUGAUCUGCCUGGGUAUUGCUUUUUCUUUGGUCUAUGAGUAGAUAGUUUGCCAGUGGGUUAUCAAGUUACUGGCUCUUGAUUAUUCAAAACAAUGUGAAACAAACAUUUCCUAUUGUUUUAGUUGUUUAGGGUUUCCUUGAUUAAGCUGUCACCGCUGUCAGUUAUGUUCUUAUAAGCCUGCUCGGAUCUAUUUCAUGUUAAGAAAAAGCUCAGAUAAAUCCAGGAAAGCUUAAUGUUUAUCCAAUGUGAAAAUAAUUACUCAAAAGUGUUAUUCUUAAUCCAGAUAAUUAGAGUGAGGAAGGAGAGAUCAGUGUCAUUGUGAAUUAUGCCCUGGCAAUUGACUCUUGGUCCUUGUAAGUUUCAGGUGAAGAUGUGAAUGGAUAAAGGUUAGAUUAACCAUAAUCCAAAGUAGCUGCAACCUAAAUCUGUUAUGAUACAAGGAUGAUCACUUAAAAAGAGCUGGAUUGUGGGAUUGUUUCUGGUUGGAUAAGAUGCCGCUCGACUGGGACUAGUCUUAAAACAUGCUUAGCACCAUGUCACUGCAGCUGUAAGCACUUGUGCACGGUUUCAGGCUGCCACAGACUGCAGGACUCUCCUGCACAGUGUAAUACUACCCUGCCUUGCAAUAUCUGUGCUUUACAUUAACAUGCUUUACCCUGUGUUUCAUGGAAAAUAGACGGUAACUUAUGCAGAGUGAUUUGCUCAAUGAUCACUUCUCUGUGCUGUUAAACAAAUUCCUUUGAGUUCCCCUUUUGAAACAUUCUGUGCAUCUACAUGUAGUAUAGUGUGCAAUGGUACAGGUACAGGGUUAUAAAAAUUGACCAAUCAGAAAUGUAAAAGGGAAAAAAUAUUUACUCCCUCUAUUUUAGUUUAUAUAAUGAUUUUGUAGGGUUACUAAUUAUUAGAAAAGGAAAAACAUAACAAUAUAUUUUAUGUAAAGAUAAGGUUUGCAGAUGCUUUUCUCUCUGAAGUUGCACAGUUUUCAGAAAUCCAUUAUAAAUUAACACCACUAAAUCAAAACAAAUUCACUCUGAAUGCAGGAAAAGUAGCAUCAAACAGGGGACGUGCAAGUAUUAGCACAUACUGGAAGCAGAAAGUAUUUGAUGCUUCAGACUUCCCUGUUUAUAGAUAUGGACAUAAUGGUGACAGCCCAAAUGACAGUAUGUGUAGCAACUCUGUAAACAUAUAGACUCUUGAAUCUCAAUGGUUACUAACUGGGAAUAACACCGCUGAAAAAGGAAGAGAAGAGGGCGAAAGAUCGUUUAUUCAAAAACAGUGCAGGAAUCUUUGGUCUCAGCAGAUAGUUUAAUUGCAUGGUCCAGUCUUUCUCAUUGUUUCUCAUUGUACAAAUGGAAAAUAAACUAAAGAGAGUUUUUUCUUAUUAUUCAAUUUUUCUAAUAAAUUGCAUGCAAUUACUCUGAAGUGAUACAUUUAUGCAGAUCUCCCUCAGCCUUGCUGGAAAACUGGAAGCAGCAUUCCUUGAUACGUGACUAAGGAUUGAAAUUGGAGAGAAGACAACAUCUGGACAUAGCACCUUUUGAUUACUGUUUCUUCACUCCUGUAUUACUUGGAAUCAGCCUUGCAAGAUUAUUCAUUAAAUUCUCAUUACUGGGGUAGGUUUUUAGAAAAAUGUGUCUGUCAAAAGUCCAUUACUCCAGAAAGUUUUUCUGUAAAUAUUGUGAAUAUUUCCUGCAUUAGCUUAAUGAAAUCUGAAUAUCCCUGGCUUAAACAAGAGGGGUAACAACAUAGGCACCUACUAGUGUGCACAUAUGGAUGUAUUUUUAAAAUGGACAGGUAACAGUUUUAGCAGUUCUAAAAGUACUGUUCCUUAAGAUAAAACCUUUCCUUCUCUAAAUGGCAGAAUGACUGAAACUACAUUUAAUAGGCACAAACAUAGAUACACAAUAGAAAUUUAAUAAAUUUAGUUAGUUAAACACAACUAGCUCUGUUCUGCAGUUUGUUCUGUUUCAUUGCUCAGUAUUAGUACUGGUGAAUUAUAGCUUCUGCCUUCUUUACAGCCCCUUCACACAGAGGGCUUUGCUGUUAAACACAAGAUGACCAUGAAUGCUUGAGUCAAACAGGCUUCCCUCUUGUUAGAACCAGAAAUUAAAGGAAAUUAUUUUGUAGAAUUUGCAUGUAUAAAUUUGCUAAGUGAAUAAAUGUUUCCUGUUCUAAAAGAAAUGAAUUCAAAGGCAUUUUUAGUGAAAUUAAUAGUUAUGCCAUUUGAAAAAAGGGAUUUGUAUUCCCUAAAUUUGCGUGAGUUCCUUCUCAAAUGGAAAAUCUCCCAUGUAUGAUGUGUUUUAAGGCGUUAUUGAUGCUAGGGGUUUUUUUUUUCCCCUCUCAAUUCCAUUGUGGCUGCAGACUUGCAAGCCCAAAAGGGACACUUAGAGUCAUUUUUAUAAUAGGAAACUAAUAAUUUUAUGUCCUAUUGUAUGUGAAAUGUUUGAACAAAAUGCCUGAUAUUUGAACUAAUAAAUCUUAUGAUCUCUGCCGCGACCCUGUCAGGUGAUUAAUGUACAUUUUGGACUAGCAAAGUCAAAUAAGAAAUUUUCUUUGGUUGGGACACCUGUCCCAGAACACAUAUCCAGUGGCAUAGUAUUUCUGGAGCUCAUCCUCUUCAUUGUCAUGCCCAUAAAGAAAGCUUUUUUCAAAUUCCACAGGUCUCAUGUCUGGCAGUAAUAAUCUAAUAUAUAAUGCAGAGAGAGUGAGUAGAAAGAAAAUCUGUUUCUGUUUUUUCAUGCUCUUCAAAUGCAAGUCUUUCAAAUACUGCAAGACACAAGGCUCUCCUCAUUUCGGUAUUUCUCAUGUGCCUGGUGGUGUCUGGAUGCUGUUUGCUCCAAUGAAGAUGAAGUUCCUCUAUUAAGAACAAGCUUUCUUAUACGUUUUCUCAAGCUUUCUAGUUCUGAUCAAAGGACUAUUACUGCAAAAUUGUUUAUGCAUUCCUGAAUCCCAUCCUAAUAAUAAAAAAUGUGCACAAAAAAUACUAUAAACCAGAUUUAUCUGCUUGUUUCCAAUUAGAGCAUUCAGGCUAGCUUUGGAACUUCAAGUGCUAUUUCAGGUAAUUUCUAGCAGCAUCUGAAAUAAUUUACAUCUGAUAUGUUUAUUAGGAGUCUCAUUUUCAGAUAACCUCUUGGGUAUGUUUUUCUUUCCCAGCUUAAAGAUGGGAGGUUCUCAAAAAAUAGAGAUUACUCUUACUUGAAACCGGUCUGAGAUGUGGCACUGUACACACACUCUACUCUCUCCAUUUACAAAUUUCUUCCUAUUUAAGAGAGCUAAAAUAGUAACAGUACAUUUCCAUUUUCUUUCCAUGACUUUCUAUUUCUCUUCUUUCUUCUUUCCCCUUUUAUAUUUCUUUUUUCCUUUCUUUUUUCCUUCCUUCUUAUUUUCUUUUUUUUUUUUCUUAAUUUACC